This 510-nucleotide ribosomal RNA is filed under the name uncultured Glomeromycotina. RNAcentral describes it as "SSU rRNA". It matches the Rfam family "Eukaryotic small subunit ribosomal RNA", at positions 548 to 1062 of the family's 1831-position model. The record is from RNAcentral. Lineage: Eukaryota; Fungi; Glomeromycota.
UUGGAGGGCAAGUCUGGUGCCAGCAGCCGCGGUAAUUCCAGCUCCAAUAGCGUAUAUUAAAGUUGUUGCAGUUAAAAAGCUCGUAGUUGAAUUUCGGGAUCAGUACGCUGGUCGUGCCUUUGGUAUGUACUGGUGUCACUGAUUCCUCCCUUCUGAAGAACCGUUAUGCCAUUUAUUUGGUGUGGCGGGAAAUCAGGACUGUUACUUUGAAAAAAUUAGAGUGUUUAAAGCAGGCUCGCGCCUGAAUACAUUAGCAUGGAAUAAUGAAAUAGGACGUUUGAUCUUAUUUUGUUGGUUUCUAGGAUCGACGUAAUGAUUAAUAGGGAUAGUUGGGGGCAUUAGUAUUCAAUUGUCAGAGGUGAAAUUCUUGGAUUUAUUGAAGACUAACUACUGCGAAAGCAUUUGCCAAGGAUGUUUCAUUAAUCAAAGAACGAAAGUUAGGGGAUCGAAGACGAUCAGAUACCGUCGUAGUCUUAACCAUAAACUAUGCCGACUAGGGGAUCGGGAUGA